AUUGAACGCUGGCGGAAUGCUUUACACAUGCAAGUCGAACGGCAGCACGGACUUCGGUCUGGUGGCGAGUGGCGAACGGGUGAGUAAUAUAUCGGAACGUGCCCAGUCGUGGGGGAUAACGUAGUGAAAAUUACGCUAAUACCGCAUACGAUCUACGGAUGAAAGCGGGGGAUAGCAAGACCUCGCGCGAUUGGAGCGGCCGAUAUCAGAUUAGGUAGUUGGUGAGGUAAAGGCUCACCAAGCCAACGAUCUGUAGCUGGUCUGAGAGGACGACCAGCCACACUGGAACUGAGACACGGUCCAGACUCCUACGGGAGGCAGCAGUGGGGAAUUUUGGACAAUGGACGCAAGUCUGAUCCAGCCAUUCCGCGUGCAGGACGAAGGCCUUCGGGUUGUAAACUGCUUUUGUACAGAACGAAAAGGUCUCUAUUAAUACUAGGGGCUCAUGACGGUACUGUAAGAAUAAGCACCGGCUAACUACGUGA
This 485-nucleotide ribosomal RNA is filed under the name uncultured bacterium. Its description in RNAcentral is "bacterial SSU rRNA". It matches the Rfam family "Bacterial small subunit ribosomal RNA", at positions 30 to 508 of the family's 1533-position model. The record is from RNAcentral.